UAUAUAUAUAUAUAUAUAUAAAGAAAGUGAUGAGAAUACGGAGCGUACAGUAGUACAUAUAUAAGAAGAAGUAUCUGAAAUAAUCACAUGAUACGGAUCUUCUCCAACAAGUUUCACUUUAAUCU
This is a long non-coding RNA of Haliotis rubra (blacklip abalone), 125 nucleotides long. RefSeq lists it as uncharacterized. The record is from RefSeq and is a predicted model, not a curated record. The transcript is spliced from 3 exons. NCBI's taxonomy places the organism in Eukaryota, Metazoa, Mollusca, Gastropoda, Lepetellida, Haliotidae.